This 300-nucleotide long non-coding RNA is filed under the name Capsicum annuum. RNAcentral describes it as "long non-coding RNA (CANN_LNC004610)". Lineage: Eukaryota; Viridiplantae; Streptophyta; Magnoliopsida; Solanales; Solanaceae. The record is from RNAcentral.
CCAGGUCUAUCUCUUCGUUAUCAUCCUCUAUGACUAGAGCUAGAAACUCUCCAUUGAUGGUGAACCUUAGAGUAAGGAAAGAAAAAUAGGAUAGCUUUACCGGUGGUUGUAAGAUAAUAUUCGUUGGAUGUUGCAAGAAAAGGAAGGAGAAAGAAAAAAGAGUGCCAAAUCUAACCCUUUCUGUCAUCAUCCAUGGCUCGAGCUCGAAGCACACCAAUAAUGACGGAACUUCAAGUAAUGAAAAGGAAAUCAAAAUUGAAAGACUGUAGAAACUGAAAGCUAAAAAUUUGAAGAAGAAAA